Molecule: ribosomal RNA, 500 nt
Filed under: uncultured bacterium
Lineage: Bacteria
Description: partial 16S ribosomal RNA
Rfam family: Bacterial small subunit ribosomal RNA
Source: RNAcentral
AUUGAACGCUGGCGGCAUGCCUUACACAUGCAAGUCGAACGGCAGCACGGGAGCAAUCCUGGUGGCGAGUGGCGAACGGGUGAGUAAAGUAUCGGAACGUGUCCAGUCGUGGGGGAUAACGUAGCGAAAGUUACGCUAAUACCGCAUACGAUCUACGGAUGAAAGCGGGGGAUCGCAAGACCUCGCGCGAUUGGAGCGGCUGAUAUCAGAUUAGGUAGUUGGUGGGGUAAAGGCUCACCAAGCCGACGAUCUGUAGCUGGUCUGAGAGGACGACCAGCCACACUGGGACCGAGACACGGCCCAGACUCCUACGGGAGGCAGCAGUGGGGAAUUUUGGACAAUGGGCGCAAGCCUGAUCCAGCCAUGCCGCGUGCAGGAUGAAGGCCUUCGGGUUGUAAACUGCUUUUGUACGGAACGAAAAGGUUUGGCCUAAUAAGCUGGACCCAUGACGGUACCGUAAGAAUAAGCACCGGCUAACUACGUGCCAGCCGCCGCGGUAA